UGGGGAAUAUUGCGCAAUGGGGGGAACCCUGACGCAGCAACGCCGCGUGAAGGAAGACGGUUUUCGGAUUGUAAACUUCUUUUCUAAGGGACGAUCGAAGACGGUACCUUAGGAAUAAGCCACGGCUAACUACGUGCCAGCAGCCGCGGUAAUACGUAGGUGGCGAGCGUUGUCCGGAAUUACUGGGUGUAAAGGGCGAGUAGGCGGGCCUGCAAGUCAGAUGUGAAAUACAGGGGCUUAACUCCUGGGCUGCAUUUGAAACUGUGGGUCUUGAGUGAUGGAGAGGCAGGCGGAAUUCCCAGUGUAGCGGUGAAAUGCGUAGAUAUUGGGAGGAACACCAGUGGCGAAGGCGGCCUGCUGGACAUUAACUGACGCUGAGGCGCGAAAGCGUGGGGAGCAAACAGG
RNAcentral lists this ribosomal RNA (405 nucleotides) under uncultured bacterium. RNAcentral describes it as "bacterial SSU rRNA". It matches the Rfam family "Bacterial small subunit ribosomal RNA", at positions 355 to 776 of the family's 1533-position model. The record is from RNAcentral.